Molecule: ribosomal RNA, 329 nt
Filed under: uncultured eukaryote
Lineage: Eukaryota
Description: partial 18S ribosomal RNA
Rfam family: Eukaryotic small subunit ribosomal RNA
Source: RNAcentral
CCCUUAGAUGUUCUGGGCCGCACGCGCGCUACAAUGAUGAAUUCAACGAGUUUAUAACCUUGGUUGAAAAGCCUGGGUAACCUUUUGAACUUUCGUCGUGAUGGGGCUAGACCCUUGCAAUUAUUGGUCUCCAACGAGGAAUUCCUAGUAAACGCAAGUCAUCAGCUUGCAUUGAUUACGUCCCUGCCCUUUGUACACACCGCCCGUCGCACCUACCGAUUGAAUGGUCCGGUGAAAUCUUCGGAUUGAGACUUUGAUUUCUUCACGGAAAACGCUGUUUUAAGAAGUUGAUUAAACCUUACCAUUUAGAGGAAGGUGAAGUCGUAACA